UACGGAGGGAACUAGCGUUGUUCGGAAUUACUGGGCGUAAAGCGCACGUAGGCGGCUAUUCAAGUCGGGGGUGAAAGCCCGGGGCUCAACCCCGGAACUGCCCUCGAAACUAGGUAGCUAGAAUCUUGGAGAGGCGAGUGGAAUUCCGAGUGUAGAGGUGAAAUUCGUAGAUAUUCGGAAGAACACUAGUGGCGAAGGCGACUCGCUGGACAAGUAUUGACGCUGAGGUGCGAAAGCGUGGGGAGCAAACAGG
RNAcentral lists this ribosomal RNA (253 nucleotides) under uncultured bacterium. RNAcentral describes it as "partial 16S ribosomal RNA". It matches the Rfam family "Bacterial small subunit ribosomal RNA", at positions 524 to 776 of the family's 1533-position model. The record is from RNAcentral.